RNAcentral lists this long non-coding RNA (229 nucleotides) under Vigna radiata. RNAcentral's name for it is "long non-coding RNA (VRAD_LNC002107)". Lineage: Eukaryota; Viridiplantae; Streptophyta; Magnoliopsida; Fabales; Fabaceae. The record is from RNAcentral.
ACAAAGUUCACGGCCCCACCACAAUUUCAACACUUACUCUUUUAUUUCAUUUCAACCUUCUCUCUCCUUCUUCCAUCCUUUUUUUUUCGUCAAUUUCACACACACACAACUUCCACUCUUUCUUCCACUUUUGACUUUUCAAACACUCAUCUCUCACUCUCAUCUCUUCUUUUCACGUAAACCAACACCUCUUCCAUUUUAUUCAACUUUUCAACCCCAAACUCCACAU